Molecule: ribosomal RNA, 120 nt
Filed under: uncultured bacterium
Lineage: Bacteria
Description: partial 16S ribosomal RNA
Rfam family: Bacterial small subunit ribosomal RNA
Source: RNAcentral
AUGCUCGUGGAGCGGCCGAUAUCUGAUUAGCUAGUUGGUGGGGUAAAGGCCUACCAAGGCAUCGAUCAGUAGCUGGUCUGAGAGGACGACCAGCCACACUGGGACUGAGACACGGCCCAG